Molecule: ribosomal RNA, 476 nt
Filed under: uncultured bacterium
Lineage: Bacteria
Description: bacterial SSU rRNA
Rfam family: Bacterial small subunit ribosomal RNA
Source: RNAcentral
GAUGAACGCUGGCGGCGUGCUUAACACAUGCAAGUCGAACGAAGCACUUUAUUUGAUUUCCUUCGGGACUGAUUAUUUUGUGACUGAGUGGCGGACGGGUGAGUAACGCGUGGGUAACCUGCCUUGUACAGGGGGAUAACAGUUGGAAACGGCUGCUAAUACCGCAUAAGCGCACGGCAUCGCAUGAUGCAGUGUGAAAAACUCCGGUGGUAUAAGAUGGACCCGCGUUGGAUUAGCUAGUUGGUGGGGUAACGGCCCACCAAGGCGACGAUCCGUAGCCGACCUGAGAGGGUGACCGGCCACAUUGGGACUGAGACACGGCCCAAACUCCUACGGGAGGCAGCAGUGGGGAAUAUUGCACAAUGGGCGAAAGCCUGAUGCAGCGACGCCGCGUGAGCGAAGAAGUAUUUCGGUAUGUAAAGCUCUAUCAGCAGGGAAGAUAAUGACGGUACCUGACUAAGAAGCACCGGCUAAAU